Molecule: transfer RNA, 26 nt
Filed under: Corallorhiza wisteriana
Lineage: Eukaryota; Viridiplantae; Streptophyta; Magnoliopsida; Asparagales; Orchidaceae
Description: partial tRNA-Phe
Source: RNAcentral
GUGGGGAUAGGUGAGGUGUAGAGGAG